RNAcentral lists this ribosomal RNA (241 nucleotides) under uncultured bacterium. RNAcentral describes it as "partial 16S ribosomal RNA". It matches the Rfam family "Bacterial small subunit ribosomal RNA", at positions 15 to 235 of the family's 1533-position model. The record is from RNAcentral.
GAUCCUGGCUCAGGAUGAACGCUGGCGGCGUGCUUAACACAUGCAAGUCGAGCGAAGCACAUAAGUUUGAUUCUUCGGAUGAAGACUUUUGUGACUGAGCGGCGUCGGGUGAAGGUAACGCGUGGGUAACCUGCCGUCAUACAGGGGGAUAACAGUUAGAAAUGGCUGCUAAUACCGCAUAAGGACCACAGUACUGCAUGGUACAGUGGUAAAAACCUCCGGUGGUAUGAGAUGGACCCCG